ACUGGGGGGCACUGGGACAAACUGGGAUGGACUGAGAGGGGAUUGGGGGGGAUUGGGAUGGACUGGGAGGGGCUGGGAGGGGACUGGGAGCGACUUGGGGGGACUGGGAGGGAACUGGGAGGGACUGGGAGGAAACUGGGAUGGACUGGGAGGGACACUGACAAACUGGGAUGGACUGAGAGGGGAUUGGGAUGGACUGGGGGGGACUGGGAGGGAACUGGGAGGGGACUGGGACAAAUUCAGAGGGACUGGGAGGGGAUUGGUGGGGAACUGGGACGAACUGGGAAGGACUGGAGGGCACUGGGAGGGAAAUGGGAGGGAAUUGGGGGGGACUGGGAGGGGACUGGGACAAACUGGGAGUGACUGGGAGGGGAUUGGGGAGGAUUGAGGGGUACUGGGAAGGAAUUUGGGGGUACUGGGAGGGACUGGGAGCACUGGUGGUGUUCAUGCCGGGGGCGGGGCUUGGAGCAGAUGUCACAGAAGGGGCGUGGCUUUGACAUGUGGGCGUGGCCACAUUUGGAGGUGUGGCUUUGCUCUGAGGGCGGGGCCUGGGCGUGGCUCAGGGUUUGGGGGAGGGGCCUGGCGUGUUUUGGGGUGGGGUCUGCAGGAGUGGGCGGGGUCCCGGCCUGGGAGGCGGGGCUAUGGGGGGUCCCGGGGGUUUGGGGUCCCCGCUGACCCCCGGCUCCCCCCAGGUGGUCUCUGGGGGGAGGGGACACGGCGGGGGAGGGGCCGCAGGUGGAGCCAGUCGCCCUCAGCCCCAGGCACCGGGCGUGGGUGGACGCCUGCGCCGGCCUCUUCGGGGGCGUCGACAUCUGCGGGGUGGAGGCGCUGCGGGACCCCGACGGGCAGGAGCACAUCGUGCAGGUGCUGGGCUCGUGGCUGCCGCUGCUGGGCCCGGGCGCGGCCGAGGACCAGGCGCAGAUCGUGGAGCUGGUGCUGGAGCGGAUGAGGGAGGAGCUGCCCCGCCCCCGCAGCCCCUCCCCCGCCCGGCCACGCCCACAGGUGUCGGCGACAUCGGGGACCCCCCGGCCGGGGACCCCCCCUCAGCAGAGACCCCAGCCCCAGGGUGCGCCGCCGAUGUCUGGCCCCGCCCAGCCCCGCCCCCAGCCGCAGGGGCAGCCACGCCCACAAAUGGGUGGAGCUUCACCACGCCCCGCCCAGCCCGGCCCCACCCAACCUCGAGGCCCCGCCCAGCCCCGCCCAGUCGCUGCACAGCCCCGCCCCCAAACCCCAACGGCCACGCCCCAGCCACGCCCAACCUCCCCACAGCCACGCCCACAAACCCCGCCCAGCCCCGCUCAGCCACGCCCACAAACCCCGCCCAGCUCACCCCAGCCCCACCCACAAGCCCCACCCGCUUCACAGCCCCGCCCACCUUUGGCUGCCUCUGCAGCUCAGCCCCGCCCACCCAGCCCUCAGCCCCGCCCACAAGCCCCGCCCACCUCCCCACAGCCCCGCCCACAGACCUCUCCC
Molecule: long non-coding RNA, 1473 nt
Filed under: Chloebia gouldiae (Gouldian finch)
Lineage: Eukaryota; Metazoa; Chordata; Aves; Passeriformes; Passeridae
Description: Erythrura gouldiae (Gouldian finch) lncRNA (ENSEGOG00005010995.1)
Source: RNAcentral